GGGGCAGUGUGAGAUGACGGGACCAGAGCACGUUCCUGGCUGCAGAGGCCACAAGUCACGCUGUCUCUGAGAGGACUUAGCACGUAUCCUAGAAAUUAACCUGCUGGUAUAUCCUGUUUCUUGUCUGUCUCUUUCCAGUGGAAUGUCACCAUCGCCCAGGUCCUCCCAGCAGCUCCUGCAAACAGACCCCCGACCCAAGCCCUUCCUUCUGCCUCCACUGCCACCACUGCUGCUCAUCUCUGCUGGCACAGAAGUCUCUUCCCUGGUCUUCCAGAAAUCCCCUCUCCACACUCAGCCAGAGGGAGCUAUUAAAACUGUGGGCCAGCCCACAUCAGUCCACAGCAAAGUCCUCUCUAAGGGAUCUCUGUUGCUUGGAGAAUAAACCCUCGGAUUCCUUCCUUG
This 402-nucleotide long non-coding RNA is filed under the name Homo sapiens (human). RNAcentral describes it as "plaque enriched lncRNA in atherosclerotic and inflammatory bowel macrophage regulation". Lineage: Eukaryota; Metazoa; Chordata; Mammalia; Primates; Hominidae. The record is from RNAcentral.